UCAAAUUUGGAACCCUAGUCUCCCUCUCCACGUUCUACAGUUGACCACAAGAUUACUCAAUCAUGGAAGGUAUUCUUAAAUAUGUAUAAUCUUUCCCUGACGUUUUCUUUUGCUUUCUCACUUUCUAAAUCCUACGCUCUAGUCUCUGUUCUCACGUUUAAAAUGUUGAGUGCAGUAUGUAGUAAGUUUCAGUGUAGGGAUAUUAAUGAAAAACUAAGGAAGUUCACAUGGAGGAUUGACAACUUCUCCACUAUUGAAGGCAAAAUGUUGUACUCUGAGGAUUUUAUUGUUGAGGGAAACAAAUGGCGGAUUAUUAUCUAUCCGAAGGUAAACGGUGCAGAUUAUUUGUCAAUUUACUUACGUGUUGCAGAUUCAUCAACUUUGCCUUCUGGGUGGAGUGCAUAUACCCAAUUCGGAUUCGCAAUCAUCGAUCAAAUCAACAGGAGAACUUCCGUUACACAAUGUAUUUUGUUGCAGCAAUCAGAUUUCUAUAAAACAAACGAAAGGAUUAUGGUUGUUCGAAUUACUUCGUUUUACAAGACACCUAUACUAAUUCGCUCUUGAAGAGGAAGAAGAGUUGAAAAGAGUGGUAACUUCUUGUUUGCUUGUAGAUAUUUCAAAACUACCUAAGUGAUGAGCUGGUAUGGUUUUUGAUGUGUAUAGUUCUUUGAUUCUAAAAAAUUGGAUAUACUUAUGCGGAAACUUAUCUAUUUGCUUUUUCCCCUUUGUGAACUUGUUUUAUUUAUCAUCAUACAAAGAUGGUCUAGUAUAAUAGGGGAAGGGUAGCUGAUAUUUGGGUCAUUUGUUGAAUGUUAGCUCAUAAGUGCUGCAUGAAUCAAUUGUGUAAUUCAAUUCCUUUUGUUAUUUACUCGGUCUCUUCUUCAAAUUCAUCAAAGACGUCUCUUUGAAUUCCUUGUUCUGCUUCUUUUACUGUCACAAUAUGUUCUCCUUGGAUAUUGCUUCCUCUUAUUCCGUUUUGGCUAUUUUGCAUUUAUCCUUUUUGGGGGCCGAGUAUUUAUUUUGUAUGUUUCCCUUGGUCCUGGCCUCACUAUGUGGUGAAUGCUUGAGCUUUCCAUAAAUGUACAUGUAGAGAAAUAGAAAAGAUAGACCAGAAUCAAAUGCAAUAUAAACGACACACGGAACGGAGUCACAUGGGUAUUAUGCAUUCAUCUUCCAAGUGUUAUUCACAACGGCUUUUUUACGUUUACACUGGGGCUACCUAUCAUAUGACGACCUCUCCGGCUGCGAAGUUUCGGAUUCAUAUUGGUUGUGGGUUGAGAAAAAGAAUUGGAGUAUAUGAAUCCAGUCUCCCAUUUCCCCCAAUAGCUCAGCUUGUUUGAGGCUUUGGUAUGGUCUAGACAAUCAAAGACCAUAAGCCAAAUAUGUUAUCCAUGCCAUUUUUUCUUAUUGGAAUCUGUUUCUAUCUUGUUUACUCAAGUAGUUGGUGAUGAUAUAUACUCUUACUUUUAGCAGUCGCUACGCGUGAGUUCACAGCAGAGGAGGGAAAUGGUGUCUUCGGCUUCCCAUCAUUCUUACCUCUUAAUGAAUUACGUGACCCUAAAAGUGGCUAUCUUGUUAAAGAUGCAUGCUUGGUUGAAGCCUAUUUUUCCAUUGAUAGGACUAAAGCUUUGAUUUCACAUGAACUAAUAGUCGAAACUGAUUCGGAUAAACUUAAGACCGAGGAAGCUAUUUGUGCUAAGGCAGACACAGACAACCAGAAAACUAUGAUAACCAAGGCAGAAGAAUUAACAACUCCACCAACUCAGCCUUCUUGCCAGGAUGAGGCCAUUGAACCUGAAGAGCCUACUGAUGAAGAUAUGAACACAUUUUUCACUAGCUUAGAGUCUGAACUAAGCUGUAGAACUGUUUUUUCUCGAGAAGAAGCAAAGGAAGCACUGGCUAAAGUAGAGGAAGCCCUGAAUAUGACCCCUGUUAAUUUUUACUGUUUUUGCAAGAGUUCUCCAAGUCAUAAGAAGGCAUUCAAGAUCCUAGCUAGCUUUUAUUGUUCCGCUACCACUCUUACAACAAAGAAAAAAAAAUGUGCUGUCAGCCAUGGAGCAAAGCUUGCAUGAACUAGCUGAUCGAGCAAUGAAAGCCAAGCGGGACAAGGAUCAUCUUACCGAGAAGGAAUCUGUCAAGUUGGAACUUACGCUUAAUUUGGACCUUAAUCUAACCAGAUACAAGGAUGUCAAAUCGGAGGUGAAUCGGAUCGAGGAAAAUCUUGUUGCCCUUAAUAAGCAAAUUGAAGAAGCACACAAGGAAAGGGGGAAAAUGCUGGCUGAAGGGAAGGGGAUAUUCUCAAAUUCCAAGAGAAUAAAAAAGGAGUUGGAAGCAUUGGGAGAGGAACUGGCAGAGUGUGAAGCCGAUGCCAAGGUUGCCGAGAAGGAAGAGAAGACUGUUGAUGCUGAAUGGAGAAGAAUCAAAGAUUUCUUCUAUUCUAUAAAACCAAAGAUCUAAAAGCUGCCAAGGGAACUUUAUAUAGUAUUGGUAUUAUGUGCAAGACUUUACACCAUCUAAAUAUACACUUGUUGGGAUGUAAACCAUUGAACAAGUUCGUUUCCUCUCCUUUUCUCUUCAUCAAAUGCCUUUGUUUA
Molecule: long non-coding RNA, 2594 nt
Organism: Hibiscus syriacus
Lineage: Eukaryota; Viridiplantae; Streptophyta; Magnoliopsida; Malvales; Malvaceae
Exons: 3
Source: RefSeq, a predicted model, not a curated record